Molecule: long non-coding RNA, 374 nt
Organism: Anoplophora glabripennis (Asian longhorned beetle)
Lineage: Eukaryota; Metazoa; Arthropoda; Insecta; Coleoptera; Cerambycidae
Exons: 3
Source: RefSeq, a predicted model, not a curated record
GUUCAUGCGUUCCUCUUUCCUCUUCCAUUUCGUUUGUGUCUGUUCAUCGUAGAAAAGCAUAUUGGAUCUUAUCAAAAGAAUCCUCUAGUUUUUUCCAAACUAGAGUUCUUUUAAAGUUCCAAAAAUGAGAGCGAAGUGGCGUAAGAAGCGUAUGCGAAGGCUAAAACGUAAGCGCAGGAAGAUGCGUGCGAGGUCCAAGUAGAUUUUAUCCACAUGAAUUCCGUUUCGUUCAACAUUUUCCAUCGGAAGAUCUUGGAGGAUAUGGAAUUAUACAGAAAAUGGAAAAUUUGUCCGUUGACUUCCAGGUUUUUUUAAUAAAUGACGUGGUUAAAUCAUUGUGACAGACCAAAAAAACAAUAAAAUGUUAAAAAAAA